RNAcentral lists this ribosomal RNA (497 nucleotides) under uncultured bacterium. RNAcentral describes it as "partial 16S ribosomal RNA". It matches the Rfam family "Bacterial small subunit ribosomal RNA", at positions 28 to 507 of the family's 1533-position model. The record is from RNAcentral.
GAUGAACGCUGGCGGCGUGCCUAAUACAUGCAAGUCGAGCGAACAGACGAGGAGCCUGCUCCUCUGACGUUAGCGGCGGACGGGUGAGUAACACGUGGAUAACCUACCUAUAAGACUGGGAUAACUUCGGGAAACCGGAGCUAAUACCGGAUAAUAUAUUGAACCGCAUGGUUCAAUAGUGAAAGACGGUUUUGCUGUCACUUAUAGAUGGAUCCGCGCCGCAUUAGCUAGUUGGUAAGGUAACGGCUUACCAAGGCGACGAUGCGUAGCCGACCUGAGAGGGUGAUCGGCCACACUGGAACUGAGACACGGUCCAGACUCCUACGGGAGGCAGCAGUAGGGAAUCUUCCGCAAUGGGCGAAAGCCUGACGGAGCAACGCCGCGUGAGUGAUGAAGGUCUUCGGAUCGUAAAACUCUGUUAUUAGGGAAGAACAAAUGUGUAAGUAACUAUGCACGUCUUGACGGUACCUAAUCAGAAAGCCACGGCUAACUACGUG